RNAcentral lists this long non-coding RNA (1608 nucleotides) under Glycine max (soybean). RNAcentral describes it as "long non-coding RNA (GMAX_LNC003338)". Lineage: Eukaryota; Viridiplantae; Streptophyta; Magnoliopsida; Fabales; Fabaceae. The record is from RNAcentral.
CCUCUUUAUUUUUUAUUUUACUUUUGUUUCACGUUAAUUCUGUGUUGUGCUAAUUAACAAACAAACGUCUCAUUUCCAUUUCUCAUUAUCUUACGUUACCCUACCCAGCUGUGUGGUCAUGUAAAUACAAUAUAGUUAAAUAUAUUUUUAAAAAAAAUAACGAAUCUCCACAAUAAAUUGAUUUAAUGAAUCCUCUUUAAGCACAAAAUGGAAAAGAAACACAUUUGUAUAUUUGGAGCAUCACAAUCCUUUUAGGUUUAAACUAACAACGUUUGCACGUUCUCAGUUCUCAGCCUUGGCUGCGGGUUUCUCUUCAUUGGUUUCAGGCUUUGCAUCCUCUGCCUGGGCUUUCUCUUCUUUCGGGGCUUCAGCCUUCACCUCCUUGGCCUCCAAUUGCUCUUCUUCUAUUCUUCAUUCUGUCCAUACAUUAUAUAUUUGAGAAUCUCAUGACAUGAAUAUACAACCCCUCAAAAUGAUCAAAUUAAAAGUAUAUAUAUAUGUAUCCUCUGGAUCAAAUUUUAUAUUGAUCUUUAUCCCUCAGCCUCUAAACACAACAUGCCUGAGGUUAUGUUUAGAGGAUGGAGGAUGGAAUACUUUCCGAAUCAGAUUGGAUCAUGUAUCAACCCUCAUUGCUAAACCCUUAUGCACAUCAUACUUGAGACUAAAAGGUUGUGUAUCCUUAGGAUUGGAUCCUAUAAUCACCCUGAUCAGUCACCCCAUUUUAAUUGAGUAUACCCAUCCUUAUCAGAUCAUCUCCACAAUAAUAAAUAACUCCUCUCAACGAAACCUUUUCCAAUAUAUGUUUGUAUUCUCAAUAAUGAUUACAAAUAUCCUAACAAGUCUUCCUAAUUAAGUAAUUAAAAUUGAUAUGUUUAUAACAAAAUAUAAUACUUAGAAUCAAAUGAUUAUAUAAUAUCAAUGUAAAAUUUUUUAUAUUAUUAAUUAAUUAAAAAUUAUCCCUGAUGUGAUUUUUAAGUUAUUUAUGUAAAAGUUAGCAAAAUUAUUAUAAAUAUUAGUUUGUGAUUAAAUAACAGUAUAAAACUGUUUUAUAUUUUUUUUUAUAUAAUAGAUAUUGGAUUUCAUUAAAUAUUACAUAUUCUUGUCAAUUGCAUUUGAGAAGUGAAUGAGGUUCACAUGGUAAGAUGCUUCCUCAAUCCAGUAUUAGUGUAUAACUUAUGAUUAAUAUGCAUUCACCUUAAUUUUAAUUUUUGUAAAACAAAGAUUAUAUACAUUAAUUCUCUAUCUAAUAUAUGUAACUGGUAGAAUAAAACAAGAAUAAGAGUGUAAAAUGUAACUAAUGUAUAUACCUCAUUGAGCAAGGUGACAAGAGAGUUGUCAGCAGAGGCGACAGGGGUUUCCUCUGUCUUGGCCUCGACGACAUUUUCCUCAGCCUUGUUCUCUUGCUGCUCAACCUUGACCUCCUCGGCGACAGGUUCUGGCACCGGCACAGGCACUGGGGCCUCACCUUCGUUGGUCUUGGGGUAGCUAGCACAGUUGCCCAUGUUUCAAUUUAUUAGAUUAUUAGAUGUGGGAGAACGAACCAAGCAAGGUCUCUUCUUGAUUGAUUGUCCUCCCUAAGGUUAUGAGAGAAACAAGAGAUUAUCGACA